CAGGAAGCCUUUUCCACCACAAGAGCAGCACGUCAUCCCUACUUUCUUGAACAUGCAUCAGUGGGAGCCUACUCCUUGUUGAAACUGCUUGUCCUACCUCUGGGUAGGUCUCCUUCAUCCGUUUAUGGAUUAGUUAAACUAAUAUUGAUGAAGCACCUAAGGAUUACCUGGGUAUCCUUUACCAGUUGGAGAACCCUCAUUCUGUGCUAAAUACAUCUGCUUCCGAUUCUGUUCCUCGUAUGAAAUAUGGAAUGAUUUUCAACCAGGAAGAUUUUAUCUCAUUUUUUUUAGGUGGUAAAUAUCAUCAGACUGGGGAUAAGUCAACUCUAUGCUCUGUUGAUCAAGCUAUCCCAGAGGUGGUCUGUACCAGCACUCUUCACAAUAGCCAAGAGAUGGACACAAUCCACAUGCCCACCAGCGGAGGAAUAGAUGAGCAGACUCUGACAGACUGCCAACACAUCUGGGCCUCUGCCCAAGCAUCUGGCAGCAUAUCUAGCUAACUGCGUACCUUCAGCCACUGUGAAAACCCCUGCACCCCAUACUCAAAGUCAAGACUGGCGAGGAGAAAGGUCAAGGGGGAGACUCCUGUGAAUGCAUUAAAACCAGAAAGAAUGUGAUUUGUCAACCGGAAAACAUCCUGCUUACCUCUGUGCGUAGCCAUGUGUGCCAUUUUGUCCACCCACAGUGCUCUUUGCCCUUGUCUCUGCCAGUCCAAGCCCCUCACCAAACCCCUGCAGAACCCCGUGAGAAUUCACAGCCUCCAGCUGACAGACCACCUCUCUGCCCUAGCUCCUGCAUCUCUCUGCCAUUCUACAGGAGAGAACGUGGAUCCGGUCAGUGUGUGUGUCCCCUUGCUUUGUGUCUGGAAGGUUGCAUCUUCUACGUUGUGCACGUCUUCUAAAACUUCAGGUGCUGUGCAUCAUGCAUGGUGGACGCUCCGCGCGCACUGAUGAACCUUCACUGACCCAGAAUGCCAGCAGUCCUGGCGUGAGUGACGUGAGUGUGGACAGACUGCUGCGUGUCCGCUGUGUUGCUGUCCCUUCAGCCACGUGGCCACUGUGCCUCACACAGAGACGAAAGAAGAAUACUUUUCACUCCUGGUUUUCAGGUGAGGAAAAGGAAACUCAGUUUAAAUAAUUUUGCCAAAGUCGCACAGCCCUUAAGUCACCCCAUCAAGAUUAAACUGGGUGCCUGUUCAUUGUAUGCGGAUGGGCCGUGUUUUCAGUGUUAACUGAGGGGACUCUAGGUCUCAGGUGUG
Non-coding RNA from Leptonychotes weddellii (Weddell seal), 1258 nucleotides. The record is from RefSeq and is a predicted model, not a curated record. NCBI's taxonomy places the organism in Eukaryota, Metazoa, Chordata, Mammalia, Carnivora, Phocidae.